This 1798-nucleotide unclassified non-coding RNA is filed under the name Leishmania donovani. RNAcentral describes it as "gene:unknown". The record is from RNAcentral. Lineage: Eukaryota; Euglenozoa; Kinetoplastea; Trypanosomatida; Trypanosomatidae.
GUGUGGCCCAUCCCGCGGAGAAGAGAAGGGCAAGGGAGCCAAGGGAAUCACUCCCACACCCCUCCACUAUAAUCCGCCUCCUAGCAGCAGCCAACCCCUCCAGUCGAUGCUGUUUCGCUCCUCCUCUUCCGCCCUCUGUGCUUUGUGUGCGUGGUGCGCGAGCGUCAGUCGCGGUCUCAUCUACUCCGUCUUUCUGUGACCCCACCCCCUCCCCGUCUUGCACGAUAUGUCGAUCCCACAACCGCCACGCAUUCGCGCGGGCGUGCACGUAUUCCGAUGCUAGGCCUCCACCCCCGCCUCUUUUCUUUCCCCUUCCUGCGCGCCUAGUGAUGCCGGCCACCUUGCCGUGGUAUCAGGGUCUCGUACCCCACCCUGUGGGGAAACCAAGAGCCUGCACGCUCUCCUUGGGUGCGGCUGGCGGACUCUUCUAGUGCCGGUGGACAUGUCCGAGCUGGCGUAGCGCCGCAGGAGACUUGCGCUCUUGCUGGUCACGCUUGCACCCGUUCGCUGCUAAUCGAGUCGUCGAUCCAGCAUGUGCAUCGUUGCCCAUUUACUUUGAGGCAGAACGGAACCAUUCGCCGAAAAGCACGAGAAGUCUCUCCCGGGCUUCUCUUGUUCACUCCGCCGUCGCCGGCAAUGUGAGUAGCGUACGCUCCCCCGGCAGAGAAAGUAAGCAGACAGAGCGUCAACGGCCCACCCGGCCAAUCCAUGGUACACAAGCAUACACAUACACACACAGGGAAGGCAAUGGCAGUCCCCGCCCACCUCUGCAUGACUGUCUUGCGAUGGGAGCUUUCUGCUUCCCCACACCCAAACAAAUGAUCCACAACGCUCUCGCUGACGGCAUCAUGCGGCCGGAGGCGGAACUCUGCAAAAGCAUUGUGUGUGUGUGUGUGUGUGUGUGUGUGUGCGAUCGCGAUCGCGAUCACCUCUCCGCGGCUAUCCACGCUGGGUGAGACAGUGGAAGUGCGGCAAGAAGACCAGCCUUGCCAACAGCGUUGAUGUCUUCUACGUGCAAGAGCAAUACAAUCAGCUCAUGCGCCAGAGCUGUGUCCGGAAGAGGAUGCGACUGGACCUCCUUCGUGAGGAGGCCCGUUUGGCACACAUACGCGAACCCGCGCAACACCUCAUACAAAUCGUUGCCGCUCAUGUUCGAGCAAACUCAGCCCCACCGAGGUGCGAGUCUCUAAAACCAGAUGGCCAAAGGAACACUUCGACGAGGUCCUCAGCACUCUGUGGCCUCAUCGCGUCCCAGAGUUUCGGAAAAUUCAAAAAGCAGGGCCGCCACAGCGCUUGCGGCACUGACCGCGUGGCCUGCUCUGCACUUGAGCCUGAAGUGCAUCGAAGCACACUAUCCGCUUGGGCCAAUCGCUUGCGGUCGUGCUCUCCCCCCCCCCUUGUUGAGCUCUGUCGUGCGGCCACCACCACCACCCCUCCACUUGCCAUGUCGCUGUUCCCCCUGAGUACUGCGUUUGCCGCUUGACGUUGUCAAACCGAAAAGGCCGUCUCCGCGGUCAUCAAGGCGGACGAAAACAAGAGGCCGCGCACCCGCCCAAGCACCACAUGAAGAGAGAACGCAACGACACGAAGGGACGGGCGAUCACGUGGGGAGAGGAAGUGGGGUGGGGAUAAGACGCGGGACCCCGUGACGCUUUCGCUCGUGUUGCCGGUUGGCACUUAAACAGACGAAAUGGAAAUCACGAACUCUGUACGCCACAAGUCCGGCGACGAGUAAAGUCCAAAAUCGCUACGUCGCGCGGCAGCCAGGGCAGCGCGGCGAAAUGAGUGUCUAUACAGC